GACGAACGCUGGCGGCGUGCCUAAUACAUGCAAGUGGGACGCAAGGAAACACACUGUGCUUGCACACCGUGUUUUCUUGAGUCGCGAACGGGUGAGUAACGCGUAGGUAACCUGCCUAUUAGCGGGGGAUAACUAUUGGAAACGAUAGCUAAUACCGCAUAAUAUUAAUUAUUGCAUGAUAAUUGAUUGAAAGAUGCAAGCGCAUCACUAGUAGAUGGACCUGCGUUGUAUUAGCUAGUUGGUAGGUAAGAGCUUACCAAGGCGACGAUACAUAGCCGACCUGAGAGGGUGAUCGGCCACACUGGGACUGAGACACGGCCCAGACUCCUACGGGAGGCAGCAGUAGGGAAUCUUCGGCAAUGGACGAAAGUCUGACCGAGCAACGCCGCGUGAGUGAAGAAGGUUUUCGGAUCGUAAAGCUCUGUUGUAAGUCAAGAACGUGUGUGAGAGUGGAAAG
This 457-nucleotide ribosomal RNA is filed under the name Streptococcus mutans. RNAcentral's name for it is "bacterial SSU rRNA". It matches the Rfam family "Bacterial small subunit ribosomal RNA", at positions 28 to 464 of the family's 1533-position model. Lineage: Bacteria; Bacillati; Bacillota; Bacilli; Lactobacillales; Streptococcaceae. The record is from RNAcentral.